RNAcentral lists this ribosomal RNA (253 nucleotides) under uncultured bacterium. RNAcentral's name for it is "partial 16S ribosomal RNA". It matches the Rfam family "Bacterial small subunit ribosomal RNA", at positions 524 to 776 of the family's 1533-position model. The record is from RNAcentral.
UACGUAGGGCGCAAGCGUUAUCCGGAAUUACUGGGCGUAAAGCGCACGUAGGCGGAUACUUAAGUCAGGGGUGAAAUCCCGGGGCUCAACCCCGGAACUGCCUUUGAUACUGGGUAUCUCGAGUCCGGAAGAGGUGAGUGGAAUUCCGAGUGUAGAGGUGAAAUUCGUAGAUAUUCGGAGGAACACCAGUGGCGAAGGCGGCUCACUGGUCCGGUACUGACGCUGAGGUGCGAAAGCGUGGGGAGCAAACAGG